This 29-nucleotide non-coding RNA is filed under the name Rattus norvegicus (Norway rat). The record is from RNAcentral. Lineage: Eukaryota; Metazoa; Chordata; Mammalia; Rodentia; Muridae.
UUCAACAUUAACGUGUCCAUUGAUAUUGC